Marmota monax (woodchuck) is the source of this 6115-nucleotide RNA transcript. It is a transcript of the gene named mannosidase alpha class 1B member 1, with no coding region annotated. NCBI's taxonomy places the organism in Eukaryota, Metazoa, Chordata, Mammalia, Rodentia, Sciuridae. The transcript is spliced from 16 exons. The record is from RefSeq and is a predicted model, not a curated record.
GAUGGGCGGGGUGCGGACGGCUCCGCUAUGGCGGUUUAUUUUGCCUCUCGGACUCGGGCUUCCUGACACCGCCGGCGAACGGGAGCUUGCGGACCGGCGCGGUCGCCAUGUACCCGCCGCCGGCGCCGGCGCCUCACCGGGACUUCAUCUCGGUGACUCUGAGCCUCGGCGAGAGCUACGACAACAGCAAGAGCCGGCGGCGGCGCUCGUGUUGGAGAAAAUGGAAGCAGCUGUCGAGAUUACAGCAGAACAUGAUUAUCUUUCUCUUGGCCUUUCUGAUUCUCUGUGGAUUCCUGUCCUACAUCCAUAUGGCAGACCAGUGGAAAGCUCUGAGUGGCAAGCCCACAGAAGAGCGGAAGAUGAUGCCAGAAGUCCCUGGACUGAAGCCAGCAAACCCUCCUGUCUUACCAGCACCUCAGAAGGCAGAUGCCAGCCCAGCGUUUUCCAAGAUGUUGCCUCAGAGGCCUCGAAAGCAUUUCCGGCGGGGGCCUCCCCACCUGCAGAUCAGAGCCCCCAACACGGACUCCAAGGCUGGGACACAGGGUGACACUAAGGAGCGGGCAGCAGCCCCGGGGGAUGCUCAUCAGGAAGAGAACACACAGCGGACCGUCAUCAGCUGGCGGGGUGCAGUGAUCGAGCCCGAGCAGGGCACUGGACUCCCUUUGAGAAGAGCAGAGGCCCCUGCCAAGCCUUCUCCACUGGUUACCAGGAUGCAGAAAGAACCGGCACUCCUAAACGAGCGCCAGGAAGGGGUGAUUGAGGCCUUUCGACAUGCGUGGAAGGGGUACCGCCAGUUUGCUUGGGGCCACGACGAGCUCAGGCCUGUGUCCAAGUCCUUCAGCGAGUGGUUCGGCCUGGGCCUCACUCUGAUCGACGCCCUGGACACCAUGUGGAUUUUGGGUCUGAAGCAAGAAUUUGAAGAAGCCAGAAUGUGGGUGUCACAGAAGUUAAACUUUAAGAAAGACGUGGAUGUGAACCUGUUUGAGAGUACCAUCCGCAUCCUGGGCGGACUCCUGAGCACCUACCACCUGUCCGGGGACAGGCUUUUCCUGAGGAAGGCUAAAGAUUUUGGCAAUCGGCUAAUGCCGGCCUUCAUGACGCCCUCCAAGAUUCCAUACUCCGAUGUGAACAUCGGCACUGGAGUUGCCCACCCACCCCAGUGGACCUCAGACAGCACAGUGUCCGAGGUGACGAGCAUUCAGUUGGAGUUCCGCGAGCUCUCUCGUCUCACGGGGGUCAAGAAGUUCCAGGAGGCCGCGGAGGAGGUGACAAGGCACGUUCACCAUCUGUCUGGGAAGAAGGAUGGGCUGGUGCCCAUGUUCAUCAACACGCACAGCGGCUCCUUCACCCACCUGGGUGUGUUCACCUUGGGCGCCAGGGCUGACAGCUACUACGAGUACCUGCUGAAGCAGUGGAUCCAGGGCGGGAAGCAGGAGACACAGUUGCUGGAGGACUACCUUGCAGCCAUUGAGGGGAUAAAAACACACCUGGUGCGGCACUCGGAGCCCAACAAGCUCACCUUCAUAGGGGAGCUCACCCACGACCGCUUCAGUGCCAAGAUGGACCACCUCGUGUGCUUCCUGCCAGGGACGCUGGCUCUGGGCGUCCACCACGGCUUGCCUACUGACCACAUGGAGCUGGCUCGGGCACUCAUGGAAACCUGUUACCAGAUGAACCGACAGAUGGAGACAGGCCUAAGCCCUGAGAUCGUGCACUUCAACCUUUACCCUCCUACAGACAAUCUGGACGUGAAGGUCAAGCCAGCUGACAGGCACAACCUGCUGCGGCCCGAGACCGUUGAGAGCCUGUUCUACCUGUACCGCACCACAGGAGACCGCAAGUACCAGGACUGGGGCUGGGAGAUCCUGCAGAGCUUCAACAAGUACACACGGGCCAACUCUGACCCCAGAAGUGUGUGUGUGGAAGGGCCUGGCUGCAACGUGUUCUUGGACCUCAGCCUUAUGGCUCCUAGAUUCACUGAGGAAACCCUACAACCUCCCCACAUCGAGAGGGUAGCCAUGUUCCCCCACAGCCCUCCUGGGCCAGGAGUUCCAUAUACUGAACAGGCAGGACUGGGCGGCAGCUGCGGCCUGCUCAGGGAUUGGAUGUAAGUGGGUCCUGAGCAGCCAAGUAAAGUACAGCUUCCAUAUCUCGUCUCCAGCUCCCAAAUAUAUGUGCUCUGGAAGGGGUGGCCAAUGCUGAGGGCUGGGAACAUGGCCCUCCCGGGGGUUGCUGAGGGCCUGAGGCUCUAAUGAAGUUCUGUCCACCAAGCAGUGGGCUUUUUCAGGGUGUGGAGUGGCUUUCUGGGCAGGGAGGUGGGUCCCUGGGAAAGGCAAAUCUCCCCCUGCCCCCCGUUGCCCUCAAGUGCCAGCCUUGGAGUCAAGUCUGUGCUUUAUUGAACAUUCUGCAGCUUCAGCAGGCGCUGGGCAGGGGGCUCCUGCCCAGCCUCCAGGGACACACCCAGCCCCUUUGCUUGAGGUCCCCACAAUGCCCCAGCCACACAGUGGACCUAAACAGUGUGUCCAGGGCAGGACGGGCGGCCAGCAGCUCCUCACUCCUCAGGGUGUCCAGGACACUGCUGCCUACUCCGGGCUGCCUUCGCCCACUCGAGGAUGAGAGCAGCCUCCAGCCUGCGCACCUCCAGGACCGAGUUGGGGUCUUGUGGGUGGGAUGCCCUGAAGAGGGCACAGGGGUUGGGGGCACUCAGCUGGACAUGCAGACCCCAACCGUCAGGGUGAGCCUCACCCACACCCAGCUGUCAGCCUAGGUGGGACUGCCUGGCUGCACCUGAGGUCUAGGUGGUGUGCUCCCCCGUGGAUGGUGACAGCAAUGACCGACGCGCUCACGUUCCUCAGAAUCUGUCGUUGGUGGGAGGAUCUCCUGUCAGGCUCGCAGCUUGUGCUGUGGGCCAUAAGCAGCCCCCCUCAGCCUUCCCACCCAGCUGUCAGCAUGGGCUCCAGCGGCCCCAUUGGAGAGGGAAGGUGAAGGUCAGCGAGCCAGAUGUCUAUCCAUUUGAGUAAUCAGGAAACAGAAACCAGAAAGUGGGAACAGUAGGGACCGGAGCAGAAGUGGAGGGUGGAACUGAGGGGGCCUCGGGGCGAAGCUGGCUCUUUGAGGUUCUGGUAGGCUGAUAGGGAGGCCCCGUUGAUACCACUCAGCAAAACCAGUGGCCCCGGCACCAAAAGUUCUCAAGGGGGUCCACAGCUGCCCAGACCAGGACUCACCCCGCCCCCUGCCCAGGGGUCUAGGUCACCAUUGGAGAAGAUGAUGUUGCUGGUGGCUCUGAGGUCUGAAAGACACCAAGUGGUGGCAAAGGACCCAGUGUGGCCCUUGGAGCUGUGAACUGUGGCAAGUGCCGAUUCAGGAUGCCGCCCAGCAACCCCACCCCCAGCCCUUACCACCGCCCCAGAAGCUGGUCUGCAGCCAGUCCGGCCGAGGCCACACGCCCCACUUAUUCAGGCAGUACUGUUGGCGGAGCGUGGCGGUGAACGGAAGGGCAGGGAACAUGUCCGUCACGUUGUUGCUGUCAAAGGUCAGGUUGAUCUCGGUGCAGGCCUGGAUGCCCCGCCCCAAGGUCAGGCAGGCAGGGGGAGUACCCACACCCACAUCCAGCCACUCAUGCUGCCCACACCCCACACCUGAUAGUCCCAGGCCAUGGCAUCAGGGCCAGUGCCACAGCCAGUGGGGUCCGCACAGCUGUGGUACAGCUGGUAGAUGUCAUAGCAGUGCGCUGUGCCCGAGGAGUUGUAGACCAGCCCUGGGAGGAGGGAUGCUGGGAUCAGCAGUGGACACAAAUCCUGCAUGCUCAGGUUACCAACCCACCCCCCUUGGGAGGGCCCUGCAGGUGGGGAGUCCCUGGGCUCUGCUUGGGGAUCUGCCGUCAGCUCUGCCCCUGGCUACUGAAGGCAGUCCAGUGUCACCUGACCUUCCCCACUGGCAGGGUGGGGCAUGCUGACCUCCAUGCCUGGGGACCCCAGGGGCCCCACUAAACAGCACCUCCUGUGGGGCCCUCGUUGCCACCCUACAGAGCUUCUGCCCAGCCCUCCUGGCACGGGUUCUGUUUCUGUCCUUCAGCUGCGGUUCAUAGCUUUCCUGCCGCAGCCCAGGUGGUCACGAGGCAGAGCCCCAGUCCAGGGCUGCAAGUCCUUGCUCUGCCCAGCCCCAGACCAGCAGUUGGGUCUCCAUACUUGCCCUAUGUAAAGCUGAGGGUCAGACUCACCUGUCAGUGCCCGCAGACCCACGAUCCUCUGGGCCUCCCUCAGCAGCCGGGCACAGCCAACCUGGGAUAUAGGGGCAGCAGAGCAUCUCAGAGGAGUCCCCCGUCCACAGCCCAACCUUCAUGGUCCCAGGAUGAGGGUCAGUCAGGGCUAUGGGGAUGAACUGACCUGAGUAGGAGCAAGGCCCCGGGGCUGGGCUGGCCCCAACCACCCAGGGAAGCUGGGCUGGCCUUGCACCUAGAAGAGGCGCCUCACCUUGACAGGGUUGGCAGGCAGGUACCCCAUGAAGUCAGUGGGGUACGGGUAGUCCAUCAUGGCCAGCAGAGUGAAGGCGUUGCGUGCAAACACAAAGAGCUGAGUCAGGUCCUUUGUGUCCAAGAGUGGCUGGCAGGUGCCAAACUCCUGGCUGACCCUGUCACGGGCUACAGGGAAGGGGCAGAGGGAGGCUGCUGGAAGGUUUGGUGGGGCAUGGGCCAUGGGGGCUGUAGCGGGAGGGGGCAGAGGGGGCAGGUAGGGCAGUGGCCUCGUGGCCCCUCACCUCCCUGUAGGAACAGGUCCCUGAUCUGCUGGAAGGCCUCCCGCACGCCCUGGACACACCUUGGACUCUGGCUGUGGAAGGUCUGGAGAACAGACUGCAGUCAUUGAAGUGGCUGGCCCAGGCUGGCCCAGGACCCCCAGGCCCUCACUCACCGCUGUGACGUCCCGGAAGAACUGGUUGGAGGUACCAAGGCCCGCGACAGCCAGGACGGGUGCGCUGGCUGCCAGCGCCCCUGCCACCAGGUGGGGGUACUUCAUCCUCAUGUAGGCGCUGAGCAUCCCCCCGUAGCUGGGCAGGCACAGGUUAGGGUGCUCAGCCUGUGCUCGGCCGCAGCCCUGCCCUGGCCUCUGACUGUCCUCCCGCCCCCCACACCCACUUCCUCUGCUUUCCUUGCAGACCACAGGUGUUAAAAGAAGGAACUGAAACUUCCGUGACCACCAGUUCUGACCCUGGCCUCAGUCAGGCACAGCCUUCACUGGGAAAAGGUCCCUGGUGGACAUCCCUCUCCUCGGCUCAGCCUGGGGACUGGCUCAGGACCAGUGGGAGGGCUUCCUGGAGCAGGCAGCACAAGUUUCUGCCGCAGGGUCUGGAUCAGCACGGCAUAGUCGGCCAGCGCCUGCUCCACGGUCAGCAGCUCGGUGUACCCGGGCUGCAUGGACUUCUCCCCAAACGGGAGCGACUUCCCGUAGUAGCGCUGUGGUGAGGAAGGAAGGCUGACCUGGCUGCCCCCUGUGCCCAGCCGCCGUCUGGGGACCCCUGGAGCUGGCCGGCUGGCCAGGUGUGUGCAUCUGCUGCAGAUCUGCAGGACAGAGAGAGGGGGGUACCAGGUCAGACAGAGAUCCUGGGACCGUGCCAGCCCCUGACCACUAUCCACUCUGCCUGCUCAGACCUCAGAGCUGCUGGCACUGGGGGGACACUGUUCCCAAAUCAGUCCAGAGCUCCACUCCAUGCCUGCUGCACCUGCCUUAGGGCCCUGCUGGUCUCUGUAGUAAACCCAUAAGGAUGUACUCUUAGUGAUGGUGAAGCUGGGAUUCAGUGUGAUGCAUGGUCACUGUUAUCUAUUUCACAAGCUACUUCAGCACCCCAACAGAACAACCUCCUUAUGCAUUAGUGUCCAGCCCCCUCCAAGCCUGGCAGCAUCCUCUGCUCUCCCUGGGAGCUGAGUCCAGAUGUGUCACUGGGAAGACUCAGCAGUGCCCAGAGGUGACUACACCCCUGCUGUGUAAGUCCCUGCUUUUCCUGGCUGAUCCACUGUAGAUGUCACCACAUUGUGUGUGUCCAUUCACCUGUCAACAGACCCUUGAGUUGCUCCACAUCUUUGCUUUUGUGAAUAAACUGCAAUAAAUACAGGUGUACAAUA